GAACGCUGGCGGCAGGCCUAACACAUGCAAGUCGAACGGUAACAGGAAGAAGCUUGCUUCUUUGCUGACGAGUGGCGGACGGGUGAGUAAUGUCUGGGAAACUGCCUGAUGGAGGGGGAUAACUACUGGAAACGGUAGCUAAUACCGCAUAACGUCGCAAGACCAAAGAGGGGGACCUUCGGGCCUCUUGCCAUCGGAUGUGCCCAGAUGGGAUUAGCUAGUAGGUGGGGUAACGGCUCACCUAGGCGACGAUCCCUAGCUGGUCUGAGAGGAUGACCAGCCACACUGGAACUGAGACACGGUCCAGACUCCUACGGGAGGCAGCAGUGGGGAAUAUUGCACAAUGGGCGCAAGCCUGAUGCAGCCAUGCCGCGUGUAUGAAGAAGGCCUUCGGGUUGUAAAGUACUUUCAGCGGGGAGGAAGGGAGUAAAGUUAAUACCUUUGCUCAUUGACGUUACCCGCAGAAGAAGCACCGGCUAACUCCGUGCCAGCAGCCGCGGUAAUACGGAGGGUGCAAGCGUUAAUCGGAAUUACUGGGCGUAAAGCGCACGCAGGCGGUUUGUUAAGUCAGAUGUGAAAUCCCCGGGCUCAACCUGGGAACUGCAUCUGAUACUGGCAAGCUUGAGUCUCGUAGAGGGGGGUAGAAUUCCAGGUGUAGCGGUGAAAUGCGUAGAGAUCUGGAGGAAUACCGGUGGCGAAGGCGGCCCCCUGGACGAAGACUGACGCUCAGGUGCGAAAGCGUGGGGAGCAAAC
Molecule: ribosomal RNA, 753 nt
Filed under: uncultured Pseudomonadota bacterium
Lineage: Bacteria; Pseudomonadati; Pseudomonadota
Description: bacterial SSU rRNA
Rfam family: Bacterial small subunit ribosomal RNA
Source: RNAcentral